Molecule: ribosomal RNA, 414 nt
Filed under: uncultured bacterium
Lineage: Bacteria
Description: bacterial SSU rRNA
Rfam family: Bacterial small subunit ribosomal RNA
Source: RNAcentral
AAGAAAACGCUCNUGCGGGAGUAAUUGACGGUACCUGAGGAAUAAGCACCGGCUAACUCCGUGCCAGCAGCCGCGGUAAUACGGAGGGGGCUAGCGUUGUCCGGAGUCACUGGGCGUAAAGCGCGCGUAGGCGGCCUGUUAAGUUGGAUGUGAAAGCCCGGGGCUCAACCCCGGAUGCGCAUCCGAGACUGGCAGGCUGGAGUCCGGGAGAGGGCGGCGGAAUUCCCAGUGUAGAGGUGAAAUUCGUAGAUAUUGGGAAGAACACCGGUGGCGAAGGCGGCCGCCUGGCCCGGAACUGACGCUGAGGCGCGAAAGCGUGGGGAGCAAACAGGAUUAGAUACCCUGGUAGUCCACGCCGUAAACGAUGAGCGCUAGAUGUCGGGGGGUUAUCCCUUCGGUGUCGCAGCUAACGCA